AGAGUUUGAUCCUGGCUCAGAACUAACGCUGGCGGCGUGCCUAACACAUGCAAGUCGAACGAGAAAGCCGCAAGGUGAGUAAAGUGGCGGACGGGUGCGUAACACGUGGGUAAUCUACCUAUUGGCUUGGGAUAACAGUCCGAAAGGAUUGCUAAUACCGGAUAAGACCACAGCUCUGCGGAGUGGUGGUAAAAGGCGCUCGCAAGGGUGCCACCGAUUGAUGAGCCCGCGGCCUAUCAGCUUGUUGGCGGGGUAACGGCCCACCAAGGCUACGACGGGUAGCUGGUCUGAGAGGACGACCAGUCACACUGGAACUGAGACACGGUCCAGACUCCUACGGGAGGGCAGCAGUGGGGAAUAUUGCGCAAUGGACGAAAGUCUGACGCAGCAACGCCGCGUGGGUGAUGAAGGCCUUCGGGUUGUAAAGCCCUGUCGCCCGGGACGAACAAGUCGUCUAACUAACGACUCUGACGGUACCGGGAGAGGAAGCACCGGCUAACUCUGUGCCAGCAGCCGCGGUAAUACAGAGGGUGCUAGCGUUGUUCGGAAUUAUUGGGCGUAAAGGGCGCGUAGGCGGCCCUGUGUGUCGGGUGUGAAAGCCCACCUCUUAAAGGUGGAAUUGCAUUCGAAACUACAGGGCUGGAGUGUCGGAGAGGAUGGCGGAAUUCCUGGUGUAGAGGUGAAAUUCGUAGAUAUCAGGAGGAACACCGGUGGCGAAGGCGGCCAUCUGGACGACAACUGACGCUGAGGCGCGAAAGCGUGGGGAUCAAACAGGAUUAGAUACCCUGGUAGUCCACGCUGUAAACGAUGGGUGCUAGGUGUUGUGGGUAUUGACCCCCGCAGUGCCGUCGCUAACGCAUUAAGCACCCCGCCUGGGGAGUACGGCCGCAAGGCUAARACUCAAAGGAAUUGACGGGGGUCCGCACAAGCGGUGGAGCAUGUGGUUCAAUUCGACGCAACGCGCAGAACCUUACCUGGGCUUGACAUCCACGGAACCUCUUGGAAACAAGAGGGUGCCUCGCAAGAGGAGCCGUGAGACAGGUGCUGCAUGGCUGUCGUCAGCUCGUGUCGUGAGAUGUUGGGUUAAGUCCCGCAACGAGCGCAACCCUUGUCUGUAGUUGCCAGCGAGUCAUGUCGGGCACUCUACAGAGACUGCCGGCGUUAAGCCGGAGGAAGGCAGGGAUGACGUCAAGUCCUCAUGGCCUUUAUGCCCAGGGCUACACACGUGCUACAAUGGCGACCACAAACCGUUGCUAACUCGCGAGAGUACGCUAAUCGGAAAAAAGUCGCCUCAGUUCAGAUUGCAGUCUGCAACUCGACUGCAUGAAGGCGGAAUCGCUAGUAAUCGCGCAUCAGAACGGCGCGGUGAAUACGUUCCCGGGCCUUGUACACACCGCCCGUCACACCACGAAAGUCGCUUGGACCAGAAAUGCGCUCACCAAGAGCGCCUUAAGGUCUGAGUGGUGAUUGGGGUGAAGUCGUAACAAGGUAACC
Molecule: ribosomal RNA, 1494 nt
Filed under: uncultured bacterium
Lineage: Bacteria
Description: 16S ribosomal RNA
Rfam family: Bacterial small subunit ribosomal RNA
Source: RNAcentral